GACUCUGACUUACUGCAUCUUGUAGCUGUGUCGUCUUAAAUUGGUCAUGUGAUUUUGACGCGCCGGCGCGUCCGGCGACCCCAGAGGGUUAAUUCUUCAAAGUGUUCGACAAGGCCCUGGAAACAUUCCUCAUGUCCACAUGGACAUGAUGGCAUCACGCAGUUGCUGCAGAUUUGUUCUCUCUAUUUGUGUGCGUGUGUGUGGUAACCACACCUUACCUUUCAGGGACAGGAUCCUCUUCGUCCCAGCCCAACUAGUUUAAGGGAGAACAAAUGUGGCCGAAGGUUGGAUCUGAUAUGAGGCGAACAGGAGACCGGUCUAAAAAUAUUUAAAGCUUGUACCUACAGAGAAAGCACCACUUUAACCACAUGCAGUUAUCCAGGUGGAGGAU
Molecule: long non-coding RNA, 391 nt
Organism: Astatotilapia calliptera (eastern happy)
Lineage: Eukaryota; Metazoa; Chordata; Actinopteri; Cichliformes; Cichlidae
Source: Ensembl